This 326-nucleotide ribosomal RNA is filed under the name uncultured eukaryote. RNAcentral describes it as "partial 18S ribosomal RNA". It matches the Rfam family "Eukaryotic small subunit ribosomal RNA", at positions 1470 to 1796 of the family's 1831-position model. The record is from RNAcentral.
CCCUUAGAUGUUCUGGGCCGCACGCGCGCUACACUGAAGGCAUCAGCGUGUCCUUCCCUCCCCGAGAGGGGCGGGUAACCCGCUGAACCGCUUUCGUGGUAGGGAUCGGGGCUUGCAAUUAUUCCCCGUGAACCAGGAAUUCUCAGUAAGCGCGAGUCAUAAGCUCGCGUUGAUUACGUCCCUGCCCUUUGUACACACCGCCCGUCGCUACUACCGAUUGAACGUUUUAGUGAGGUAUUUGGAUCGGACCUGAAGGGGUUCACGCCCUUUCUGUGUCUGAGAAGACUCCCAAACUUGAGCGUUUAGAGGAAGUAAAAGUCGUAACA